GCAGCCAUGGUUUAAAGGGGAAAGGGGGCUUCCAGUCCGCUCGCGCCGAGCGGUGUCUCCAUGAACGCAUUGCGUGCAUCACUCUCCAUCCUCCAUCGCCCGGUGAAAUUUCCCGCCCUUCAUUUCCCUGGCCUCCUCCAUUUUUCUUUCGUCUCCUCCUCUGCACCAGUCGAAAAUCAGCAAAGCGACCGCCCCUUCGUCCUCGACUACCUCACUCGCACCUGCGGCCUUUCCGACGAACAGGCGGUCGCCUCCCUCAGGUACCUCUCCCACCUCCGCACCUCCCAUAAGCCCGACUCCGUCAUCCGCUUCCUCCUCCGCCUCGGCUUUUCCCGACUCCACAUCCGCGACGCCGUCAGGGGCAACCCUCGCCUCCUCGUUGCCGACGUUGAGAAGACUCUCCGGCCCAAACUAGAGCUGUUCGAGAGCUUGGGCAUCUGUGGACUGAGGCUUGGGAAGUUCAUCUCCAAGAACCCCACGGUCCUCACUGCUAGUCUUCUUAGGAGACUCGUUCCGGCCGUCGGCUUCCUCAAAAGCGUCCUUCACAAAGAUGAAGACGUUAUCAAGGCCGUGCUUCGUUGUAAAUGCAUUCUCACGAAGGAUAUCGGAGACGGUUUGGGUCCCAACAUUGCCGUUUUGAAGGAAUUUGGCGUGCCCAAUUCUCAGAUUGCCAUGCUUUUGACCCGAGAUCCUCUGCUUCUCGCCUGCAAGCACGCCUACUUCAGGACGUUCGUCCAGAAGGUAGAGAAGAUGGGGGUUUCUAGCGAUUCUGGACUUUUCGUUUAUGCGAUCUACACAGUACGGUCGAUGAGCUCCGCGACGCUUGACCGAAAAAUAGAGUUGCUGAAGGGGCUUGGCUUUUCGGCGGAGGACGUUCUGUCUAUGUUCCGGCGAGUUCCGAGCGUGUUUAGGACAUCGGAGAAGAAACUGAAGGAGGGUAUCGAGUUCUUCAUGAAGAAACUCGGGUGCGAUGUUUCUGUGCUGGUCGCGGACCCGCGGUGCUUGAUGCACAGCGUGGACGGCAGGCUGGUUCCGAGAUACAGAGUGGUGGAGAUGCUGAGGUCGAAAAUGUUGACAAGGAAGGAAAGAAAUUGUCUAUGGGUUUUCAGGAUGAGUGAAACUGAGUUCUUGAAGAAGUAUAUAUUCGCACACGACAAGCAUGCUCAGGAAUUACUGGAGCUUUACUAUGGUUGCAGAUUGUGACGGUUCUUGUUGGAUAGUGGAAGCUCUGAAGGUGGGCAGCUUCCAGAAAUUUUGCUCAUCUUUGGAGCCUAUUCUUCAUAGAGUUGUUUCUCUUGGAUACGGUAGAGAACAUAAUGUUUCCAGCCAUUUGAUGGGAUGGAUUUCUUCUCUCUGCAGUGACUACAAGAUGCCACCUAAAGCUGCAUAGUUUUGUUUUAUGCUGACAUAAUUUGGAAGCAAUUCAAACUUCUUGGAAUGAAAUACUUGUUGAUUAUGAGAAUGCUUCUGCGAUGCAGUAGGGAGUUUCCUUUUUUGUAUAUGGUGACGUCAAACCAGUCUUGAUGGAUGUAAUUAGCUGCCCAGGGUGGAGAUUCUAAAGUGAAUGCUCAUUCAGUUGUGUUUAGUAUGCUGGUCAUGGUUCUUUUCCCUACCAUGACAGUUUGUGUUCUUCUUGUUUGAGCCUUUGUUACUACCAAAUUUGUUUGAUAUGUACAUUCUGACUUUUUCUUUUUUUAGCAACUUGUUUGAUAUAUACAUUCUGACUUUUUCUUUUUUUAACAACUUGUUUGAUAUAUACAUUCUGACUUUUUCUUUUUUAGCAACUUGUUUGAUAUAUACAUACUGACUUUUUCUUUUUUUAGCAACUGUUAGACUUGAAUGGGCCGAGCUGACAUCCCGUCAGCUGAACAAGUAGAAGCUUUUCCCAGGAAACACAACUGAAGACAUGUUCAAAGAAGAUACAAACAAAAAGUCAAUGCGAUGUUUUUACCCGAAUUACUCUUCUUCUAGUUGAGAUCAUUUUCUUGGAUUUUCUUAGAUGUGUUGUAUAAUAUCUCUAUGUGAGGCCUAAAAACUGCCCUUCCCAUGAGGCCUCUGUCUCCUUUCAUUUUAUACUGUGAACACUGUGAGUUCAAACAAACAUAGUAGGUGAUGAGAUCAGAAAAAACACGGGCUGACGUUUGACUGAGUGUGCAUCAGUUUUCUGUUCUUUUCACUCAUGGGUAUGUAAAGCUUGAUUCUUGUCUUGUUCUCUACAGCCUCAAGAAAGAUUAAGGUGCAGGAUGUUUGUGCACUUUGAAGGGUCAUUUUUAAAUCCAAAGUGCUUAUAUGUUGCCAUCAUUUUGAAAGGAGUUACGUCAGAUGCAAACAGGAAUAUAUUAUAUUAUUAUUAUUAUUAUUAUUAUUAUUUGUUUUUGCAUCUCAGCCUGUCUGGACAUCCUUAAGCCCGUGUAAAGAUCAAAUAUUCCCUUAACUCUUUUCAUUAUCAAGUAACGCUCUUUUUUUUCUUCAUUUUUCACAUGGUUGGUGAGAACUCAGAAGCUUCUGAGAUGGGGUUUUGUUGUUCUUUUUUAGCUUUUGAAACAAAGAUGGAGAUGGAUUCAGGAAGGGCAUCACUUUGAUAUUGACUUAUAUUUUUUAGUUUGUGCAGUUUGGUUAUUCAUAAUUAUACAUACAAGUCAAUGCUGAAUGAUUGAGAAGUUGAGAAGCAAAUAAGAAAUAUAUUGUUGUGUGGACAUAUUAGAUAGGAGUACAUAAAGGUUUGCGUUUAUUUGCAAUAUGAUUGCAAAAGGAGGAGUACAUGCUACAGACUCAAUUUUGUGUGAAAUUCUGGAUUUAUCAUGCUUUUAUGUUAGUUAAUAAGCUGAUAAAUGUGUAUAACUUCAUUUAAUCUAGCCUUUCAGUGCUUAGGACAGUCGUUGUAAAGGUCCACAUCUGGCAUGAAUUACCACGUGAAGUCUGUAGUUCCAUCCCAUUAUAUUCUCUUCGUGCACCUUCUUCCUUCUAUUUCUUUAUGUUGUCUUCUGCAAUUUGUUGUCUAUCAUGUUUUCUGGUAAGGUAUAUACAUAGAUAGUUGGUUGCUGCAUUUAUUUGAAAACAUAUAUGGCUGCUGUAUGAAAAUUAUUUCUUUAUGAACGGAAGGAAAUAGUAUUAUAUGUUCCACUCUUUCCUAGUUGCCUUUUCCCUUGUUUUGACUGGGCAACUGCUAAACUUGGGCACCUUAGUGGUGGACAAACUGGCUUUAUUAUUGGGACAUUUCUCAUGUAGGAUUUCUUUUGUUGGAUAUUGCUUUGUGUGACUGUUUUAAGAGCUUGGUUUUUCUGCUUCAGGUUGAUGAUUUCAGGCUCGUCAUGGGAGGGCAACCGUUUGAUGGCUUAGGGAUGGAGAAGAGCAAUUCAGCUUUAUGUAGGAACAUUUUCCAACUCGUAGCAAUGCAGAGAAGGUUGCCACUUAUAUUGAUUCUUGUAUGAAGUUGUCUACUUCAAACCAUGAACCUGAUAUAUCUGAUGGCCAUUUGUAGGGGCAGGUUUCACUUGCUUUUUGUCACACAUAAGUUCCCUGCCAAUUAUAAUGUAUGUUCCAUAGCAUAAUUCUCAUAUUUUUCUGGUUGUGUUCAUUUUUUGGUGAUUAUUGUGCCUUGCCCAUUUUA
Molecule: RNA transcript, 3610 nt
Organism: Nymphaea colorata (pocket water lily)
Lineage: Eukaryota; Viridiplantae; Streptophyta; Magnoliopsida; Nymphaeales; Nymphaeaceae
Exons: 4
Source: RefSeq, a predicted model, not a curated record